Molecule: long non-coding RNA, 411 nt
Organism: Etheostoma cragini (Arkansas darter)
Lineage: Eukaryota; Metazoa; Chordata; Actinopteri; Perciformes; Percidae
Exons: 3
Source: RefSeq, a predicted model, not a curated record
AUAUUUACCCUGUUCUGCAGGAGCCAUCAGGAGCGGAUCCAUCGACCUGGGCCUCGCGUGUGGUGUGGAGAGCAUGUCUCUGCGGUCCAUAGGGGAACCAGGAGAUCUGAGCUCCAGGCUGACGGACAUCGACAAGGCCCGAGACUGCAUCAUCCCGAUGGGAAUCACCUCGGAGAACGUCGCCGAGAAGUUCGGCGUCUCCAGAGAAAAGCAGGACGCCUUCGCUCUCAGUUCUCAGCAAAAGUGAGUCACAAACGGCGUUUUUUUGUCGUUGACAUUCGUCAUCAACAGUAGAAACACGUUGAAAUGUUGUUGAGAUUUUGGUGCAUUUUGCUUCAAAAACUUCCUAAUGCUGUAAAAAGUGUUUUGUUUUCUCAGAGCGCAAAGUUAUCAUCGCCAAACCCACCAGAC